Molecule: non-coding RNA, 744 nt
Organism: Arachis ipaensis
Lineage: Eukaryota; Viridiplantae; Streptophyta; Magnoliopsida; Fabales; Fabaceae
Source: RefSeq, a predicted model, not a curated record
AACAAGGUCCUGCUCUGGGAGAGGGAUGUUCGAUGGGAGGCCUUUGAAUUCAUCCUUGUCCCAGAAAUCGAAGGUGGUGGGCAGCAGUUUCGGGAGAUCGGAGGGUGCGGGUUUGGGAUUGUGUUGGGGAUCGAUGGGGGUAGGAAGAGUGAGGUCAGUUGUGAGAGAUUGGGAAGGUAGAGAGUGGAGAAUGGUGGGAUCGAUAGAAGCGUUUUCGAGUUUGUCGUUUUCAGCUUCGAAUCCCUCGACAUGGCACGCGGCGCUGUGACGUGUUCUGUGAAGGGAGAGGCGGCGCUUGUGGUGGCUGCUGGCUUUCGACGGACAUCGACGGUGGGUGGCGGUUGGAAGGAAGCAGAAGAAGAAAAAAAGGAGGGUAGAACCAGCGCAUUAAGGGCGGCAGCGGCCAGAGGUUGAUGGCUUCUGUUUCUUCUGCUUUUGAUUUUGAUUCUACUUUUAUUGUUGCUAUGCUUCUGAUUCUGAUUCUAUUUCUUUGAAUUUGUUGUUGUGUUUCUAAUUUUAUUGUUCUUCUGAUUUCAUUGUUCUUUGAUUUCUUGUGUUUUUUUGAUAUGUUCUUAUUGUGCUAUUAAUGAUGAAAAAGAAGAAAAAAAAAGAGAUGCUGCUGUGAUGGAAAGAAAAAAUUGGGAAAUUUAGUGUAGAAGAAGAAGGAUAUUUUGGUUCGAAUGACGAUUUUAAAAUUAAGUUAAAUCUUAAAGACGAUUUUGUAUGCAAAAAAAUAUUGAGAAC